RNAcentral lists this transfer RNA (91 nucleotides) under Streptomyces sp. ADI93-02. RNAcentral's name for it is "tRNA-Asp". Lineage: Bacteria; Bacillati; Actinomycetota; Actinomycetes; Kitasatosporales; Streptomycetaceae. The record is from RNAcentral.
UGGCCGCCAGCUGGAGGGUGGCCUCGCCACGGUCCGGGGCGAACGCGGCGAUGUAGACGAGGGACUUGACGUUCGGGUUGCCGGUGGCCGC